Nematostella vectensis (starlet sea anemone) is the source of this 1429-nucleotide long non-coding RNA. RefSeq lists it as uncharacterized. NCBI's taxonomy places the organism in Eukaryota, Metazoa, Cnidaria, Anthozoa, Actiniaria, Edwardsiidae. The record is from RefSeq and is a predicted model, not a curated record. The transcript is spliced from 2 exons.
GACGGCAUCUGAAGACAAUUUUUGGCUCCCUGUGGCUACAGUCGCCAUCUUGGAAGUGAAAACCUCCCAUCCCCUCCCCCCAUGAACAAUUAUUAUUCUAUGCGUGUUCAUACUCGAAUCAUUUGGGGGAACGGACGGCAUUUGUGGACAGUUUUGGGCUGCCUGUGGCUACAGUCGCCAUCUUGGAAGUGAAAACCUCCCAUCCCCUCCCCCCAUGAACAAUUAUUAUUCAAUGCGUGUUCACACUCGACUCAUUUGGGCGAACGGACGGCAUUUGUGGACAGUUUUGGGCUCCCUGUUGAAAUCAGUGUAGUGUGGCUCGCGGCCGCGGCACGUCUUCAUUUAGCGACAUUUUCCGAUGAUCACGACCUACACCUACCAACAGAUAACAGACAGGUUUUUUUAAAGUAAAGUUUGCAUGGAAUAGGCAAAAAAUAUACAAAGCUUCUAAGCUGAGUUUUGUCUUUGCCCUAUGUCAUAUUAGAGAUAUUCAGCUGCAAUCUUGAAAUAUAAUGAAAAAUAAUCACAAAAGAAAUUGAAGUAAACACCAAAAACUGAAGUUUCUUCUGAAGCACAAAAACCAGCAAAUAAAAGAACUCAUGGCCAGGGUAAGGAAAAAAUAAUAAGUCCUUCAAAGGUGUGGUCAUGUGGAAGCGAACUACAGCAAGCUGCAAGAUUAUGUACAGCAUACAUAACAUCAUUGAAAUGAGCAAUCACAAAAUCUCCUUGCCAGGAUUGGAAACUAUGAACAUUUGAUCUGUAAAAAAAAGACAUUGCAUGGUGAUGGUCUAGGAGAUAAAUUAUAUCAAACCCAAGACUAAUCAUGUGAGAGAAAAACUUCAAAGUCCUUCAAACAAGAGCGUAGCCAUGUGGAAGUUAACUACAGCAAGCUGAAACAUUGCUGGAAAAAAGAGAUUGAGAAAUGAUGUCUUUAAUGUAUAAACAAUGAUAAACAAGGGUGUUACAUUAUCAGUCAAAGUGAUAGUAAAGAUACUUUAGAUCCUAGAAAUUCUGCAUCAUCUCCAUUCCGCAAGCUAAACUACUAUUUAGAAUGCUGUGCCAACUGCAAAAUUAUGUACAGCAUGUAACACUGUUUUUAUUGGCAAUCAUAGACAAGUUAUAAAUCAACAAUCACAAAAACUCCUUGAUUGGAAGCUAUGAACAUUCGAUUUGUAAAAAUAUGACAUUGCAUGGUUUAGGCAGAAGUGAAAACUUUAGGGUUCAUUCUCGGGCCCUGGGUCUUCCCCUCAUAUCCCCCUUUCCCCUGGGGGUAGGGGAGGGUGGGACCCUGGGAAUGAGGAUGGGACGGCUUUGGGUUUUCCCGAAGACAACUUCAAGCUGACCACAGGUAGCCCAAGCAUAUGGUUUGUGCGAAAUAACAAAGAGAAUGGUAUAUGGAAAACGAAAUAUAUCCAUCCAGAAGACAAUU